AGACCCGAAACCCGGUGAUCUAGCCAUGGGCAGGUUGAAGGUUGGGUAACACUAACUGGAGGACCGAACCGACUAAUGUUGAAAAAUUAGCGGAUGACUUGUGGCUGGGGGUGAAAGGCCAAUCAAACCGGGAGAUAGCUGGUUCUCCCCGAAAGCUAUUUAGGUAGCGCCUCGUGAAUUCAUCUCCGGGGGUAGAGCACUGUUUCGGCAAGGGGGUCAUCCCGACUUACCAACCCGAUGCAAACUGCGAAUACCGGAGAAUGUUAUCACGGGAGACACACGGCGGGUGCUAACGUCCGUCGUGAAGAGGGAAACAACCCAGACCGCCAGCUAAGGUCCCAAAGUCAUGGUUAAGUGGGAAACGAUGUGGGAAGGCCCAGACAGCCAGGAUGUUGGCUUAGAAGCAGCCAUCAUUUAAAGAAAGCGUAAUAGCUCACUGGUCGAGUCGGCCUGCGCGGAAGAUGUAACGGGGCUAAACCAUGCACCGAAGCUGCGGCAGCGACACUGUGUGUUGUUGGGUAGGGGAGCGUUCUGUAAGCCUGUGAAGGUGUGCUGUGAGGCAUGCUGGAGGUAUCAGAAGUGCGAAUGCUGACAUAAGUAACGAUAAAGCGGGUGAAAAGCCCGCUCGCCGGAAGACCAAGGGUUCCUGUCCAACGUUAAUCGGGGCAGGGUGAGUCGACCCCUAAGGCGAGGCCGAAAGGCGUAGUCGAUGGGAAACAGGUUAAUAUUCCUGUACUUGGUGUUACUGCGAAGGGGGGACGGAGAAGGCUAUGUUGGCCGGGCGACGGUUGUCCCGGUUUAAGCGUGUAGGCUGGUUUUCCAGGCAAAUCCGGAAAAUCAAGGCUGAGGCGUGAUGACGAGGCACUACGGUGCUGAAGCAACAAAUGCCCUGCUUCCAGGAAAAGCCUCUAAGCAUCAGGUAACAUCAAAUCGUACCCCAAACCGACACAGGUGGUCAGGUAGAGAAUACCAAGGCGCUUGAGAGAACUCGGGUGAAGGAACUAGGCAAAAUGGUGCCGUAACUUCGGGAGAAGGCACGCUGAUAUGUAGGUGAAGUCCCUCGCGGAUGGAGCUGAAAUCAGUCGAAGAUACCAGCUGGCUGCAACUGUUUAUUAAAAACACAGCACUGUGCAAACACGAAAGUGGACGUAUACGGUGUGACGCCUGCCCGGUGCCGGAAGGUUAAUUGAUGGGGUCAGCGCAAGCGAAGCUCUUGAUCGAAGCCCCGGUAAACGGCGGCCGUAACUAUAACGGUCCUAAGGUAGCGAAAUUCCUUGUCGGGUAAGUUCCGACCUGCACGAAUGGCGUAAUGAUGGCCAGGCUGUCUCCACCCGAGACUCAGUGAAAUUGAACUCGCUGUGAAGAUGCAGUGUACCCGCGGCAAGACGGAAAGACCCCGUGAACCUUUACUAUAGCUUGACACUGAACAUUGAGCCUUGAUGUGUAGGAUAGGUGGGAGGCUUUGAAGUGUGGACGCCAGUCUGCAUGGAGCCGACCUUG
RNAcentral lists this ribosomal RNA (1500 nucleotides) under Escherichia coli. RNAcentral describes it as "partial 23S ribosomal RNA". It matches the Rfam family "Bacterial large subunit ribosomal RNA", at positions 711 to 2194 of the family's 2925-position model. The record is from RNAcentral. Lineage: Bacteria; Pseudomonadati; Pseudomonadota; Gammaproteobacteria; Enterobacterales; Enterobacteriaceae.